UGGAGAGAGCAGAAACUCGUUGUUCAUCAGGUUCCUCAUCCCUACAGCCCUCACCGGUCCGAGACGCCGGGCCACCGGCACCAGCACCGGAUCUGUGUGGCGGGACCAGGCCGCGUCAUGUGACCAGGCCGCGUCACGUGACCAGGCCGCGUCAUGUGACCAGGCCGCGUCAUGUGACCAGGCCGCGUCAUGUGACCAGCGUGUUGAUUGGCUCCUGUUCAGGACGCGCUCAUUUAGAGCAGAUAAGGUUCUGAUAGCAACACUGUUCUGGUUACGGGUUUUUUUUUUCUCCCCUACAGAUAAACAUGUUUGAAACCUUUUUAAUUUAAACCUAAGGCCAACAUGAAGAACGAAAACGAACGUCAGUUAAAUUAGGUAAAGCGAAUGUUUCUCCAUGGUUGCCAUGGUUACUGAUCACGGGUCAGAAAACCUUUAUUACACCGACUCCUACGACACAGCGGCCAGUAGCCAAAAA
Long non-coding RNA from Fundulus heteroclitus (mummichog), 475 nucleotides. RefSeq lists it as uncharacterized. The record is from RefSeq and is a predicted model, not a curated record. Lineage: Eukaryota; Metazoa; Chordata; Actinopteri; Cyprinodontiformes; Fundulidae. The transcript is spliced from 2 exons.